This is a non-coding RNA of Hordeum vulgare subsp. vulgare (domesticated barley), 138 nucleotides long. Lineage: Eukaryota; Viridiplantae; Streptophyta; Magnoliopsida; Poales; Poaceae. The record is from Rfam.
UAUAUACUCCCUCCUUUCCAAAAUUCUUGUCUUAGAUUUAUCUAUAGAUACAGAUGUAUCUAGUCACGUUUUAGUGUUAGAUAUAUCCAUAUCUAGACAAAUCUAAGACAAGAAUGUUUUGGGCGGAGGUAGUAUAAA